UACAGAGGGGGCAAGCGUUGUUCGGAAUUACUGGGCGUAAAGGGCGCGUAGGUGGCCUUCUAAGUUGAACGUGAAAUCCCUGGGCUCAACCCAGGAACUGCGUCCAAGACUGGGAGGCUUGAAUCCGGGAGAGGGAUGCGGAAUUCCAGGUGUAGCGGUGAAAUGCGUAGAUAUCUGGAGGAACACCGGUGGCGAAGGCGGCAUCCUGGACCGGUAUUGACGCUGAGGAGCGAAAGCCAGGGGAGCAAACGGG
This 253-nucleotide ribosomal RNA is filed under the name uncultured bacterium. RNAcentral describes it as "partial 16S ribosomal RNA". It matches the Rfam family "Bacterial small subunit ribosomal RNA", at positions 524 to 776 of the family's 1533-position model. The record is from RNAcentral.